GUGACUAGUCUAAUACAAGACAAUUAAUUUCGACUUAGUUAAUCAUGUUUAAAUACCAUGGUCCCCUU
This 68-nucleotide transfer RNA is filed under the name Chelydra serpentina (North American snapping turtle). RNAcentral describes it as "tRNA-Arg". Lineage: Eukaryota; Metazoa; Chordata; Testudines; Chelydridae. The record is from RNAcentral.